RNAcentral lists this unclassified non-coding RNA (342 nucleotides) under soil metagenome. RNAcentral's name for it is "partial contains 5.8S ribosomal RNA, internal transcribed spacer 2, and large subunit ribosomal RNA". The stretch from base 1 to 120 matches the Rfam family "5.8S ribosomal RNA", at positions 35 to 154 of the family's 154-position model. The record is from RNAcentral.
GAUGAAGAACGUAGCGAAAUGCGAUAAGUAGUGUGAAUUGCAGAAUUCAGUGAAUCAUCGAAUCUUUGAACGCACAUUGCGGCCAUAGGUAUUCCUUUGGCCAUGCCUGUUCGAGCGUCAUUUACACCCUCAAGCCUAGCUUGGUGUUGGGCGUCUGUCCCGCCGUUCUCGCGCGCGGACUCGCCUCAAAGUCAUUGGCGGCGGUCGUGCCGGCCCCCUCGCGCAGCACAUUUGCGCUUCUCGGAGGCCCGGCGGAUCCGCGCUCCAGCAAGACCUUUCACGACUUGACCUCGGAUCAGGUAGGGAUACCCGCUGAACUUAAGCAUAUCAAUAAGCGGAGGA